RNAcentral lists this ribosomal RNA (446 nucleotides) under uncultured bacterium. Its description in RNAcentral is "bacterial SSU rRNA". It matches the Rfam family "Bacterial small subunit ribosomal RNA", at positions 330 to 793 of the family's 1533-position model. The record is from RNAcentral.
UCCAGACUCCUACGGGAGGCAGCAGUGGGGAAUAUUGCACAAUGGGGGAAACCCUGAUGCAGCGACGCCGCGUGAGUGAAGAAGUAUUUCGGUAUGUAAAGCUCUCUCAGCAGGGAAGAAAAUGAUGGUACCUGAUUAAGAAGCCCCGGCUAACUACGUGCCAGCAGCCGCGGUAAUACGUAGGGGGCAAGCGUUAUCCGGAUUUACUGGGUGUAAAGGGAGCGUAGACGGCAGCACAAGUCUGGAGUGAAAUGCCGGGGCUUAACCCCGGAACUGCUUUGGAAACUGUGCAGCUAGAGUGCAGGAGAGGUAAGUGGAAUUCCUAGUGUAGCGGUGAAAUGCGUAGAUAUUAGGAGGAACACCAGUGGCGAAGGCGGUCUGCUGGACAGCAACUGACGCUGAGGCGCGAAAGCGUGGGGAGCAAACAGGAUUAGAUACCCCUGUAU